Molecule: ribosomal RNA, 537 nt
Filed under: Triticum aestivum (bread wheat)
Lineage: Eukaryota; Viridiplantae; Streptophyta; Magnoliopsida; Poales; Poaceae
Description: partial small subunit ribosomal RNA
Source: RNAcentral
AUGGCAUCGAUCAUCUAUGUUGAGAGUUCUGCGGACGCGGCGACGAAGCGUGAACGUGCAGUCAUUGAGCAAAAGAUGGACCUGUGGGUCAAAGCCGUCGAUGCAUUGAAUGCGGCUUGUAGAGAAUUUUCAAAGUAUUAUGUGUCUAAGUGCGAUGAAGACGAAGUUAAGUUAUACCAAGAUAAAGAGAAAAAUAUAAGCAAUCUGAAGAAGCAAGAGAAAAUUCAUAGACGUGCUCUAGCAAGGCAAAUUGCAUUGUGUGGAACAAGGGAUGAAGUGAAUGAGAUGGACUUUAACAACCCUGUCCAGAUCAUUGACUGGCUAGUUAGGCAACCAUCAUCGGCGAUACCUAGUCGGGCAUCUCAUUGGGCUUGGGUCCGUGAAAGAAAUGAUGUCAUUUGUUGCAACCCGGGGCCGUAUGAUACGUCCAUUUUGCAUCAUGCUUUUAUGAUAAUAUUUAUUGCAUUAUGGGCUGUUAUUUCACGUUAUGUCACGAUACUCAUGGCUAUUCUCUCUUAUUUUACAAGGUUUACAUGA